UAGUCCACGCCGUAAACGAUCAUCACUCGCUGUUGGCGAUAAACUGUCAGCGGCCAAGCGAAAGCAUUAAGUGAUGCACCUGGGGAGUACGGUCGCAAGACUGAAACUCAAAGGAAUUGACGGGGGCCCGCACAAGCGGUGGAGCAUGUGGUUUAAUUCGAUGAUACGCGAGGAACCUUACCAGGGCUUAAAUGCAGAACGACAGACUGAGAAAUCAGUUUUUCUUCGGACGUUUUGCAAGGUGCUGCAUGGUUGUCGUCAGCUCGUGCCGUGAGGUGUCAGGUUAAGUCCUAUAACGAGCGCAACCCCUAUCUUUAGUUGCCAGCGGUUCGGCCGGGGACUCUAAAGAAACUGCCAGCGCAAGCUGUGAGGAAGGUGGGGAUGACGUCAAAUCAUCACGGCCCUUACGUCCUGGGCUACACACGUGCUACAAUGGUAAUGACAGAGGGCAGCCACUUGGCGACAAGGAGCGAAUCCCGAAACAUUAUCUCAGUUCGG
This 498-nucleotide ribosomal RNA is filed under the name uncultured bacterium. RNAcentral's name for it is "bacterial SSU rRNA". It matches the Rfam family "Bacterial small subunit ribosomal RNA", at positions 791 to 1296 of the family's 1533-position model. The record is from RNAcentral.